This 259-nucleotide unclassified non-coding RNA is filed under the name uncultured fungus. Its description in RNAcentral is "sequence contains ITS2". The stretch from base 1 to 52 matches the Rfam family "5.8S ribosomal RNA", at positions 103 to 154 of the family's 154-position model. Lineage: Eukaryota; Fungi. The record is from RNAcentral.
AACGCACAUUGCGCCCGCCAGUACUCUGGCGGGCAUGCCUGUUCGAGCGUCAUUUCAACCCUCAAGCUCUGCUUGGUGUUGGGGAUCGGCGUAGCGCCCCCGGGCGCCGCCGUCCCCUAAAUCUAGUGGCGGUCCCGCUGUAGCCUCCUCUGCGUAGUAGUUUUCUCCUCGCAGUGGAAUCUCGGCGGUGCCCUGCCGUAAAACCCCCAACUUCCGAAAUGUUGACCUCGAAUCAGGUAGGAAUACCCGCUGAACUUAA